Molecule: microRNA, 22 nt
Filed under: Ananas comosus (pineapple)
Lineage: Eukaryota; Viridiplantae; Streptophyta; Magnoliopsida; Poales; Bromeliaceae
Description: microRNA s0419_c50a
Source: RNAcentral
CCCGGAGUUCCGCCUGAAGACC